AGAUCAUUGCUCUGGCUUCCCAUCUGGCACCCCAUUGAUUGUCACAGUAACUAGGCUGGUCAGGCUGGCUAGUAGGCUGUCCCUUCCUUUCCCACUGUUCCAUGUGUCCCUCUGGAAGCUGGGUGCUCUUUGGAAAGGGAUGUCUUUCUGUGGUAGAGGAGUGUCUGCUUUAGAUGGUUGUCCUCCUGCUAGAUCCUUCACACCAGGUCUCAAGGUCCAAACGUGACCAUGCAGAGGCCGUCAUCCAUUGUUAAUGAAUCCAAGUAAGAGACUU
Molecule: small nuclear RNA, 274 nt
Filed under: Rattus norvegicus (Norway rat)
Lineage: Eukaryota; Metazoa; Chordata; Mammalia; Rodentia; Muridae
Description: 7SK RNA
Rfam family: 7SK RNA
About the family: 7SK was discovered as an abundant small nuclear RNA in the mid-70s but a possible function has only recently been suggested. Two independent studies have found that 7SK RNA binds the CDK9/cyclin T complex (known as elongation factor P-TEFb).
Source: Rfam by way of RNAcentral